Molecule: ribosomal RNA, 164 nt
Filed under: uncultured bacterium
Lineage: Bacteria
Description: partial 16S ribosomal RNA
Rfam family: Bacterial small subunit ribosomal RNA
Source: RNAcentral
UAUUUCUACAAUGGGGCGAAAGCCUGAUCCAGCCAUGCCGCGUGUGUGAUGAAGGCCUUCGGGUUGUAAAGCACUUUAAGUUGGGAGGAAGGGCAUUAACCUAAUACGUUAGUGUUUUGACGUUACCUACACAAAAAGCCCCGGCUAACUUUGUGCCCCCCGCC